RNAcentral lists this ribosomal RNA (1503 nucleotides) under Salmonella enterica subsp. enterica serovar Heidelberg. Its description in RNAcentral is "bacterial SSU rRNA". It matches the Rfam family "Bacterial small subunit ribosomal RNA". Lineage: Bacteria; Pseudomonadati; Pseudomonadota; Gammaproteobacteria; Enterobacterales; Enterobacteriaceae. The record is from RNAcentral.
AGAGUUUGAUCCUGGCUCAGAUUGAACGCUGGCGGCAGACCUAACACAUGCAAGUCGAACGGUAACAGGAAGCAGCUUGCUACUUCGCUGACGAGUGGCGGACGGGUGAGUAAUGUCUGGGAAACUGCCUGAUGGAGGGGGAUAACUACUGGAAACGGUGGCUAAUACCGCAUAACGUCGCAAGACCAAAGAGGGGGACCUUCGGGCCUCUUGCCAUCAGAUGUGCCCAGAUGGGAUUAGCUAGUUGGUGAGGUAACGGCUCACCAAGGCGACGAUCCCUAGCUGGUCUGAGAGGAUGACCAGCCACACUGGAACUGAGACACGGUCCAGACUCCUACGGGAGGCAGCAGUGGGGAAUAUUGCACAAUGGGCGCAAGCCUGAUGCAGCCAUGCCGCGUGUAUGAAGAAGGCCUUCGGGUUGUAAAGUACUUUCAGCGGGGAGGAAGGUGUUGUGGUUAAUAACCACAGCAAUUGACGUUACCCGCAGAAGAAGCACCGGCUAACUCCGUGCCAGCAGCCGCGGUAAUACGGAGGGUGCAAGCGUUAAUCGGAAUUACUGGGCGUAAAGCGCACGCAGGCGGUCUGUCAAGUCGGAUGUGAAAUCCCCGGGCUCAACCUGGGAACUGCAUUCGAAACUGGCAGGCUUGAGUCUUGUAGAGGGGGGUAGAAUUCCAGGUGUAGCGGUGAAAUGCGUAGAGAUCUGGAGGAAUACCGGUGGCGAAGGCGGCCCCCUGGACAAAGACUGACGCUCAGGUGCGAAAGCGUGGGGAGCAAACAGGAUUAGAUACCCUGGUAGUCCACGCCGUAAACGAUGUCUACUUGGAGGUUGUGCCCUUGAGGCGUGGCUUCCGGAGCUAACGCGUUAAGUAGACCGCCUGGGGAGUACGGCCGCAAGGUUAAAACUCAAAUGAAUUGACGGGGGCCCGCACAAGCGGUGGAGCAUGUGGUUUAAUUCGAUGCAACGCGAAGAACCUUACCUGGUCUUGACAUCCACGGAAGUUUUCAGAGAUGAGAAUGUGCCUUCGGGAACCGUGAGACAGGUGCUGCAUGGCUGUCGUCAGCUCGUGUUGUGAAAUGUUGGGUUAAGUCCCGCAACGAGCGCAACCCUUAUCCUUUGUUGCCAGCGGUUAGGCCGGGAACUCAAAGGAGACUGCCAGUGAUAAACUGGAGGAAGGUGGGGAUGACGUCAAGUCAUCAUGGCCCUUACGACCAGGGCUACACACGUGCUACAAUGGCGCAUACAAAGAGAAGCGACCUCGCGAGAGCAAGCGGACCUCAUAAAGUGCGUCGUAGUCCGGAUUGGAGUCUGCAACUCGACUCCAUGAAGUCGGAAUCGCUAGUAAUCGUGGAUCAGAAUGCCACGGUGAAUACGUUCCCGGGCCUUGUACACACCGCCCGUCACACCAUGGGAGUGGGUUGCAAAAGAAGUAGGUAGCUUAACCUUCGGGAGGGCGCUUACCACUUUGUGAUUCAUGACUGGGGUGAAGUCGUAACAAGGUAACC